This 436-nucleotide ribosomal RNA is filed under the name uncultured Mogibacterium sp. RNAcentral describes it as "bacterial SSU rRNA". It matches the Rfam family "Bacterial small subunit ribosomal RNA", at positions 341 to 792 of the family's 1533-position model. The record is from RNAcentral. Lineage: Bacteria; Bacillati; Bacillota; Clostridia; Peptostreptococcales; Anaerovoracaceae.
ACGGAAGGCAGCAGUAAGGAAUCUUGCACAAUGGGGGAAACCCUGAUGCAGCAACGCCGCGUGAACGAUGAAGGCCUUCGGGUUGUAAAGUUCUGAUCUUGGGGAAGAAACAAAUGACGGUACCCAAGGAGAAAGCCCCGGCUAACUACGUGCCAGCAGCCGCGGUAAUACGUAGGGGGCAAGCGUUAUCCGGAAUUAUUGGGCGUAAAGAGUGCGUAGGUGGUUACCUAAGCGCAAGGUUUAAUCUUGGGGCUCAACCCCAUUUUGCCUUGCGAACUGGGCUACUUGAGUGCAGGAGGGGAAAGCGGAAUUCCUAGUGUAGCGGUGAAAUGCGUAGAUAUUAGGAAGAACACCGGUGGCGAAGGCGGCUUUCUGGACUGUAACUGACACUGAGGCACGAAAGCGUGGGGAGCAAACAGGAUUAGAUACCCUGGUA